Molecule: long non-coding RNA, 328 nt
Filed under: Homo sapiens (human)
Lineage: Eukaryota; Metazoa; Chordata; Mammalia; Primates; Hominidae
Source: RNAcentral
CCGCUGUGGGAAAAAGUUCACCAGGGCUUACUCGCUAAAGAUGCAUCGCCUAAAGCAUGAAGUGAUUUCCUAGUACCGGACUACUUAAACCAGGAACAAGAAGAGACCCUUGUUCAAUAUGAUCUUGGAGAACACGGUUUUGAAAGCAACUCCUCUGUUCAAAUGCCUGUCAUUUCACAGGUCUCCUCAACCCAGAAUUGUGAAAGCACUUUUCCCUUGGGGUCUCUUGGUGGGCUGGCAGAAAAAGAGGAAGAAGUGCCAGAGCAGCCAAAGAGCAGUGCUUGUGCUGAGGCAACCAGAGAUGACCCCCCAAAAUCAGAGCUGUCUU